ACGCGAGGAACCUUACCUGGCUUAAAUGUAGAGUGCAUUUUUUAGAGAUAGAAAUUCCCUUCGGGCUUUCUGCAAGGUGCUGCAUGGUUGUCGUCAGCUCGUGCCGUGAGGUGUCGGGUUAAGUCCCAUAACGAGCGCAACCCUUAUCGUUAGUUGCCAUCUGGUAAUGCAGGGGACUCUAGCGAAACUGCCACCGUAAGGUGAGAGGAAGGUGGGGAUGACGUCAAAUCAGCACGGCCCUUAUGACCUGGGCUACACACGUGCUACAAUGGGCGGUACAAAGGGUCGCGAACCCGCGAGGGGGAGCCAAUCCCAAAAAGCCGCUCUCAGUUCGGAUUGCAGGCUGCAACUCGACUCCAUGAAGUCGGAAUCGCUAGUAAUCGCGAAUCAGCAUGUCGCGGUGAAUACGUUCCCGGGCCUU
RNAcentral lists this ribosomal RNA (421 nucleotides) under uncultured Sphingobacteriales bacterium. Its description in RNAcentral is "bacterial SSU rRNA". It matches the Rfam family "Bacterial small subunit ribosomal RNA", at positions 959 to 1382 of the family's 1533-position model. Lineage: Bacteria; Pseudomonadati; Bacteroidota; Sphingobacteriia; Sphingobacteriales. The record is from RNAcentral.